This 286-nucleotide unclassified non-coding RNA is filed under the name fungal sp. RNAcentral describes it as "partial internal transcribed spacer region". The stretch from base 1 to 46 matches the Rfam family "Eukaryotic small subunit ribosomal RNA", at positions 1786 to 1831 of the family's 1831-position model. The record is from RNAcentral. Lineage: Eukaryota; Fungi.
AAGUCGUAACAAGGUUUCCGUAGGUGAACCUGCGGAAGGAUCAUUAUCAAUUAGCGCUUCUCGGGGGGCCUCUUUAGGGGGGACCGCGGGAUUUGUUUUUUUGUGCACUGCUUCUCUUUUUUUUUUUUCUUUUCCUGGUGCUUUUCUGCAUCGGGGGGGGGGGAGGGAAGGGGAGAGAGUUGAUUUUCUUUUAUAUUUCUUUUUUUUUCUAGUUGUGGCGGGCCCUUUGCGGCCUGCUGCGAAUAACUACAAAAGACAACUUUCAGCAAUGGAUCUCUUGGCUCUU